GAUGAAGAACGUAGCGAAAUGCGAUACUUGGUGUGAAUUGCAGAAUCCCGUGAACCAUCGAGUCUUUGAACGCAAGUUGCGCCCGAAGCCAUUAGGCCGAGGGCACGCCUGCCUGGGCGUCACACGUCGUUGCCCCCCCAUCUACUCCUUCGGGAUUGCGGGGGGUGGAUGAUGGCCUCCCGUGCGCCUCGCCGCGCGGUUGGCAUAAAUGCCAAGUCCUCGGCGACGCACGCCACGACAAUCGGUGGUUGCGAAACCUCGGUUGCCCGUCGUGUGCGGUCGUCGCGCAUCGAGGGCUCGAAAAAAUUGCCGGGUUCCGGCUCGGCUUUCAACGCGACCCCAGGUCAGGCGGGGUUACCCGCUGAAUUUAAGCAUAUCAAUAAGCGGAGG
This 390-nucleotide unclassified non-coding RNA is filed under the name soil metagenome. Its description in RNAcentral is "partial contains 5.8S ribosomal RNA, internal transcribed spacer 2, and large subunit ribosomal RNA". The stretch from base 1 to 122 matches the Rfam family "5.8S ribosomal RNA", at positions 35 to 154 of the family's 154-position model. The record is from RNAcentral.